AUUGAACGCUGGCGGCAGGCCUAACACAUGCAAGUCGAGCGGAUGAAGGGAGCUUGCUCCUGGAUUCAGCGGCGGACGGGUGAGUAAUGCCUAGGAAUCUGCCUGGUAGUGGGGGAUAACGUCCGGAAGCGGGCGCUAAUACCGCAUACGUCCUGAGGGAGAAAGUGGGGGAUCUUCGGACCUCACGCUAUCAGAUGAGCCUAGGUCGGAUUAGCUAGUUGGUGGGGUAAAGGCCUACUAAGGCGACGAUCCGUAACUGGUCUGAGAGGAUGAUAAGUCACACUGGAACUGAGACAGGGUCCAGACUCCUGCGGGAGGCAGCAGUGGGGAAUAUUGGACAAUGGGCGAAAGCCUGAUCCAGCCAUGCCGAGUGUGUGAAGAAGGUCUUCGGAUUGUAAAGCACUUUAAGUUGGGAGGAAGGGCAGUAAGUUAAUACCUUGCUGUUUUGACGUUACCAACAGAAGAAGCACCGGCUAACUUCGUG
This 484-nucleotide ribosomal RNA is filed under the name uncultured bacterium. RNAcentral describes it as "partial 16S ribosomal RNA". It matches the Rfam family "Bacterial small subunit ribosomal RNA", at positions 30 to 507 of the family's 1533-position model. The record is from RNAcentral.